Molecule: long non-coding RNA, 649 nt
Organism: Trachemys scripta elegans
Lineage: Eukaryota; Metazoa; Chordata; Testudines; Emydidae
Exons: 3
Source: RefSeq, a predicted model, not a curated record
UUUGCUGAUCACUCAUCCAUCCACAGAAAAUUAGCCGGGUCUGGGUGGUGGAUCUUUAAGUGAAGAAAGCUGAAAAGCCUUUGGUUUAAGUACAUGGAUGAACAGUUUUACAAAACGAGAAGACUGAAGGUUUCUUGGUAUAAAAUACAGUACCAUAUGUUAUAAGGAAGUGAAUCUUAAAGGCCAACUUCUGCUCUUGGAUUCAGCUCUCAGUGACUUCAAUGGUGUCCCACUGCAGUGGAGGCUGGUGACAUCUGCAAAUGGGCAGCUCCACUGAAAUGGAUAGAAUAAGCUGAUCGGGGAAUCUGUUGGACUAUGUUAGUACAGUACAAUUUUCUUUUUCUGUGUCUGAGAAUCUUAUAGCAUAGAGGUGGCCUCAGUACCAGUUUGUAUUAUUAAGGGAAGGUAAAUACAAUAUUGUGCAGGCCUUAUUAAUCUACUAAUAUGUCAGCUAUGUGCAGUACACAGUAUAUUAGUAUGUCAUUAAUAAUAAUAGUAUUAUUUUUGUUGUUUGGAGCCUUUGCUAGGAAACUUUGGCCCUGUUUCUGAGCGUCACUUAAAGAGCACUGCAGGCAUCUGACUCAGGCUAUGUCUACACUAUGUAACUUUUAGCGACAGCCGCUAAAAGGCUCACAGUGUAGCCGCUGUU